GGAAAUCAAACAUGCAACAAUUAGUGAACACUGACGACUAAAGGUUGUCCAUCAAAUGUCCAUCAAAGAUUGAUAAAUCAUAAAACAUUAUACAGCACAACACAACAUACUAAUAAUCUAAUUAAUAGACUUCUAUAUUUAUACAAUAUAUAAUCCCUCUAUAUCCCUUUCAGUAGGUCUACGAUACAAAAUCCCUCUUUGUAAUUGUUAAAUGUUCUUGUUCCAAGAACAGUAGAAAACAGUAAUGAGGUACAGCAGAAAUACAGUAAUGAGGUACAGUAGAAAUACAGAAAUGAGGUACAGUAGAAAUACAGUAAUGAGGUACAGUAGAAAUACAGUAAUGAGGUACAGUAGAAAUACAGUAAUGAGGUACAGUAAAAAUACAAUUGUGACGUAGAGUAAAUUUCAACAUUACUCACUGUGUUAAUCAUGUGGUGUUUAACACUAGAGGGAGAACAAACACCAGGGAGGGAGGGUAGAGAGAGGGUAGAGGGAGAACACACACCAGGGAGGGAGGGUAGAGAGAGGAGGGAGAGGGAACACAGACCAGGGAGGGAGGGAGAACACACACCAGGGAGGGAGGGUAGAGAGAGGGUAGAGGGAGAACACAGACCAGGGAGGGAGGGUAGAGAGAGGGUAGAGGGAGAACACAGACCAGGGAGGGAGGGUAGAGAGAGGGUAGAGGGAGAACACAGACCAGGGAGGGAGGGUAGAGAGAGGGUAGAGGGAGAACACACAGGGACCAGGGAGGGAGGGUAGAGAGAGGGUAGAGGGAGAACACAGACCAGGGAGGGAGGGUAGAGAGAGGGUAGAGGGAGAACACAGACCAGGGAGGGAGGGUAGAGAGAGGGUAGAGGGAGAACACAGACCAGGGAGGGAGGAGGGAGAACACAGACCAGGGAGG
This is a long non-coding RNA of Oncorhynchus tshawytscha (Chinook salmon), 904 nucleotides long. Lineage: Eukaryota; Metazoa; Chordata; Actinopteri; Salmoniformes; Salmonidae. The record is from Ensembl.